CCGCAUAGACCUGCUGGGGCGAGAUGUAGUGGACGUGGGUGUCCAUGCCGCCAGCGGUCAGGAUCAAAUGCUCGCCCGAGAUGGCGUCCGUGGACGCGCCCGUGACGAGGCCAGGCGUAACGCCGUCCAUGGUCGCAGGAUUGCCCGCCUUGCCGAGGCCGACGAUGCGGCCGUUCCGGAUGCCGACGUCGGCCUUCACGACGCCCAGCGUCGGCUCGAGCACGGUGACGUUGGUGAUGACGAGAUCGAGACAGCCAGCCUCCUGGGUCAGCUGGUUCUCGGAGCCCAUGCCGUCGCGCAG
This 301-nucleotide small RNA is filed under the name Hyphomicrobiales bacterium. RNAcentral's name for it is "5_ureB_sRNA". It matches the Rfam family "5' ureB small RNA". Lineage: Bacteria; Pseudomonadati; Pseudomonadota; Alphaproteobacteria; Hyphomicrobiales. The record is from RNAcentral.